AACGAACGCUGGCGGCGUGGAUAAGACAUGCAAGUCGAACGGGAGUUUGUUUAUAGCAAUAUGAGUGAACUCUAGUGGCGAAAGGGUGCGUAACACGUGGCUACCUACCUCGAAGUUGGGGAUAGCUCGGCGAAAGCCGGAUUAAUACCGAAUGUGAUCGUGAGAUCAAAGCUGGGGAUCGUAAGACCUGGCGCUUUGAGAUGGGGCUGCGGCCUAUCAGGUAGUGGCGGGGUAAUGGCCCACCAAGCCUAAGACGGGUAGCUGGUCUGAGAGGACGACCAGCCACACUGGAACUGAGACACGGUCCAGACACCUACGGGUGGCAGCAGUCGAGGAUUUUUCUCAAUGGGGGAAACCCUGAAGGAGCGACGCCGCGUGAGGGAUGAAGGUCUUCGGAUUGUAAACCUCUGUCAUCUGGGAACAAAGUGCUCCACCUAACNCGUGGAUUAUUGUAUAGUACCGGAAGAGGAAGCAGUGGCUAACU
RNAcentral lists this ribosomal RNA (484 nucleotides) under uncultured bacterium. RNAcentral describes it as "bacterial SSU rRNA". It matches the Rfam family "Bacterial small subunit ribosomal RNA", at positions 29 to 502 of the family's 1533-position model. The record is from RNAcentral.